Molecule: ribosomal RNA, 580 nt
Filed under: uncultured bacterium
Lineage: Bacteria
Description: partial 16S ribosomal RNA
Rfam family: Bacterial small subunit ribosomal RNA
Source: RNAcentral
UGGGGAAUUUUGGACAAUGGGCGAAAGCCUGAUCCAGCAAUGCCGCGUGUGUGAAGAAGGCCUUCGGGUUGUAAAGCACUUUUGUCCGGAAAGAAAUCCUUGGCUCUAAUACAGUCGGGGGAUGACGGUACCGGAAGAAUAAGCACCGGCUAACUACGUGCCAGCAGCCGCGGUAAUACGUAGGGUGCAAGCGUUAAUCGGAAUUACUGGGCGUAAAGCGUGCGCAGGCGGUUUGCUAAGACCGAUGUGAAAUCCCCGGGCUCAACCUGGGAACUGCAUUGGUGACUGGCAGGCUAGAGUAUGGCAGAGGGGGGUAGAAUUCCACGUGUAGCAGUGAAAUGCGUAGAGAUGUGGAGGAAUACCGAUGGCGAAGGCAGCCCCCUGGGCCAAUACUGACGCUCAUGCACGAAAGCGUGGGGAGCAAACAGGAUUAGAUACCCUGGUAGUCCACGCCCUAAACGAUGUCAACUAGUUGUUGGGGGAUUCAUUUCCUUAGUAACGUAGCUAACGCGUGAAGUUGACCGCCUGGGGAGUACGGUCGCAAGAUUAAAACUCAAAGGAAUUGACGGGGUCAUAGCUG